GGAUGAACAAAAGCAAGAAAAUGGCUGCUACUUAUCUGAACAUUCAAAAUUCUAUUCUCUUGAAUGUUCUGAGAGCUCUGGUGCAGAUGUUGGGACUUUUGGUUUCUGUGGAGUUGCAGUAGUACUUUUUUAGUAGAACAAGUACUGAAUGCAACACUGCCAAGGUGAUGAAGUACUGUCCUCUGUGCUGUACAUUGUGUAUUCAGAUGCAUUAUCACCUGAUGAUUGUUGGAGUGGCUGAAGCCGAUGUCUUCUGUUUGUUGUAUAAUUUUAGUGUGGAGUAUUCUUUUGGGAGCAGGAUUGUGUUCCUUAAUGAGUUAAACAUUUGAAUGUACAUUAUGUAGGAUUAGGACAAUGAUUUAAGGAAAUUCGAUUGUGAUAUUAGUGUGCAUUGGAUACAGUAAUUAUUAAACCAUAUAAAUCUACCCAAGACAGUUCUG
Molecule: unclassified non-coding RNA, 440 nt
Filed under: Hevea brasiliensis (rubber tree)
Lineage: Eukaryota; Viridiplantae; Streptophyta; Magnoliopsida; Malpighiales; Euphorbiaceae
Source: RNAcentral